RNAcentral lists this ribosomal RNA (479 nucleotides) under uncultured organism. Its description in RNAcentral is "partial 16S ribosomal RNA". It matches the Rfam family "Bacterial small subunit ribosomal RNA", at positions 330 to 800 of the family's 1533-position model. The record is from RNAcentral.
CGUACACUCCUGCGGGAGGCAGCAGUGGGGAAUUUUAGACAAUGGGCGAAAGCCUGAUCCAGCAAUGCCGCGUGCAGGAUGAAGGCCUUCGGGUUGUAAACUGCUUUUGUACGGAACGAAAAAGCUUCUUCUAAUACAGGGGGCCCAUGACGGUACCGUAAGAAUAAGCACCGGCUAACUACGUGCCCGCAGCCGCGGUUAUACGUAGGGUGCGAGCGUUAAUCGGAAUUACUGGGCGUAAAGCGUGCGCAGGCGGUUAUGUAAGACAGAUGUGAAAUCCCCGGGCUCAACCUGGGAACGGCAUUUGUGACUGCAUGGCUAGAGUACGGUAGAGGGGGAUGGAAUUCAGCGUGUAGCAGUGAAAUGCGUAGAUAUGCGGAGGAACACCGAUGGCGAAGGCAAUCCCCUGGACCUGUACUGACGCUCAUGCACGCAAGCGUGGGGAGCAAACAGGAUUAGAUACCCUGGUAGUCCCAUGA